Molecule: long non-coding RNA, 410 nt
Filed under: Helianthus annuus (common sunflower)
Lineage: Eukaryota; Viridiplantae; Streptophyta; Magnoliopsida; Asterales; Asteraceae
Source: RNAcentral
CCCUACGCAAAUACCGGAUCUCAGAGAAAUCCCUAGAACUACCCUUUGACUCGUUCGAAAAUUUUUAUAGUUUUGCCCAAUACCCGGGUACACGACACUUCCCUUAUAACAGAACUAUAACACGGGUUCAUGGAUCGGCUCAUUACUUAGUUUUGCCAAUACCCGGGUACACGACACUUCCCUUAUAACCGACCUAUAACAUGGGUCUAGGAGGCAUCCGUGGACCCUUCCAAGACCAUACGCAAGAACCGGAUGAAGUAGAAUUCCCAAGACCUACCCUUUGACUUGUUCCAAAAUUUUUAUAGUUUCGCCAAUACCCGGGUACACGACACUUCCCUUAUAUCAGACCUAUAACACGGGUUUGUGAAUCGGCUCAUUACUUGGGUAUAGAAGGCGUCCGUGGACCAUUC